This 685-nucleotide ribosomal RNA is filed under the name Peribacillus acanthi. Its description in RNAcentral is "bacterial SSU rRNA". It matches the Rfam family "Bacterial small subunit ribosomal RNA", at positions 79 to 749 of the family's 1533-position model. Lineage: Bacteria; Bacillati; Bacillota; Bacilli; Caryophanales; Bacillaceae. The record is from RNAcentral.
CUUGCUCCCGGAUGUUAGCGGCGGACGGGUGAGUAACACGUGGGUAACCUGCCUGUAAGACUGGGAUAACUCCGGGAAACCGGAGCUAAUACCGGAUAGUUCCUUGAACCGCAUGGUUCAAGGAUGAAAGACGGUUUCGGCUGUCACUUACAGAUGGACCCGCGGCGCAUUAGCUAGUUGGUGGGGUAAUGGCUCACCAAGGCGACGAUGCGUACCCGACCUGAGAGGGUGAUCGGCCACACUGGGACUGAGACACGGCCCAGACUCCUACGGGAGGCAGCAGUAGGGAAUCUUCCGCAAUGGACGAAAGUCUGACGGAGCAACGCCGCGUGAGUGAUGAAGGUUUUCGGAUCGUAAAGCUCUGUUGUUAGGGAAAAACAAGUGCGAGAGUAACUGCUCGCACCUUGACGGUACCUAACCAGAAAGCCACGGCUAACUACGUGCCAGCAGCCGCGGUAAUACGUAGGUGGCAAGCGUUGUCCGGAAUUAUUGGGCGUAAAGGGCUCGCAGGCGGUUUCUUAAGUCUGAUGUGAAAGCCCCCGGCUCAACCGGGGAGGGUCAUUGGAAACUGGGAAACUUGAGUGCAGAAGAGGAGAGUGGAAUUCCACGUGUAGCGGUGAAAUGCGUAGAGAUGUGGAGGAACACCAGUGGCGAAGGCGACUCUCUGGUCUGUAACUGACGCUGA